AUUGAACGCUGGCGGCAGGCCUAACACAUGCAAGUCGAGCGGAUGAAGGGAGCUUGCUCCUGGAUUCAGCGGCGGACGGGUGAGUAAUGCCUAGGAAUCUGCCUGGUAAUGGGGGAUAACGUCCGGAAACGGGCGCUAAUACCGCAUACGUCCUGAGGGAGAAAGUGGGGGAUCUUCGGACCUCACGCUAUCAGAUGAGCCUAGGUCGGAUUAGCUAGUUGGUGGGGUAAAGGCCUACCAAGGCGACGAUCCGUAACUGGUCUGAGAGGAUGAUCAGUCACACUGGAACUGAGACACGGUCCAGACUCCUACGGGAGGCAGCAGUGGGGAAUAUUGGACAAUGGGCGAAAGCCCGAUCCAGCCAUGCCGCGUGUGUGAAGAAGGUCUUCGGAUUGUAAAGCACUUUAAGUUGGGAGGAAGGGCAGUAAGUUAAUACCUUGCUGUUUUGACGUUACCAACAGAAUAAGCACCGGCUAACUUCGUG
RNAcentral lists this ribosomal RNA (484 nucleotides) under uncultured bacterium. Its description in RNAcentral is "partial 16S ribosomal RNA". It matches the Rfam family "Bacterial small subunit ribosomal RNA", at positions 30 to 507 of the family's 1533-position model. The record is from RNAcentral.